AUACGAACCGGACAAACGUUAUUCGGAAUUAUUGGGCUUAAAGGGUGCGUAGGCGGCGCGGUAAGUGAGGUGUGAAGGCCCACGGCUCAACCGUGGAAUUGCGCUUCAUACUGCCGUGCUAGAGGGAGACAGAGGUAAGCGGAACUGAUGGUGGAGCGGUGAAAUGCGUUGAUAUUAUCAGGAACACCGGUGGCGAAAGCGGCUUACUGGGUCUCUUCUGACGCUGAGGCACGAAAGCUAGGGUAGCGAACGGGAUUAGAUACCCCGGUAGUCC
RNAcentral lists this ribosomal RNA (274 nucleotides) under uncultured bacterium. RNAcentral describes it as "partial 16S ribosomal RNA". It matches the Rfam family "Bacterial small subunit ribosomal RNA", at positions 523 to 796 of the family's 1533-position model. The record is from RNAcentral.